RNAcentral lists this ribosomal RNA (312 nucleotides) under Triticum aestivum (bread wheat). RNAcentral describes it as "partial small subunit ribosomal RNA". Lineage: Eukaryota; Viridiplantae; Streptophyta; Magnoliopsida; Poales; Poaceae. The record is from RNAcentral.
AUGUUACCGCUUUGCUCAGCCCCUCUUAUAGCGUUGUUAGUUGCAAGUGAAGAUUGGAGUUUGUUCCUUGGUGGAACAUGGAUAUGUUGUUCCUUGUUGGAACAUGUUUAUAUGUGGGGAUAUCACAAUAUAUCUUAUUUAACUAACGCAUCUAUAUACUUGGUAAAGGGUGGAAGGCUCGGCCUUAUGCCUGGUGUUUUGUUCCACUCUUGCCGCCCUAGUUUCCGUCAUAUCGGUGUUAUGUUCCCGGAUUUUGCGUUCCUUACGCGGUUGGGUUAUAAUGGGAACCCCUUGACAGUUUGCCUUGAAUAA